Molecule: long non-coding RNA, 2520 nt
Filed under: Nicotiana tabacum (common tobacco)
Lineage: Eukaryota; Viridiplantae; Streptophyta; Magnoliopsida; Solanales; Solanaceae
Description: long non-coding RNA (NTAB_LNC013881)
Source: RNAcentral
UCCAUUUCAUUUCAUCCAUAUCCCUCUCUGCUGCAAACCCUAGCCACCCCCUCAUUCCCUCGCCCGCUCCGCCGCCCGGAAAUCACCCUACGACGGCAGAGCUUCACCAAUUCCACCCAAAUUCACCCUCCACAAUCCCUAGCCUCCCCUCUACACUAUCCCACUGUCCAUUUCCCCAAAAUCACAACCCAAAUCCACCAAUUUUAGAUCUAAAAAUUAGACCAUAACCCUAGUUGACCCAAACAUCGCCAUACUCACACCACACAACCAUCUUUACCUCUUUUUCCCAUAUAUCCCAACUGUUUCUUUCAAAUAAUCCUAGAAUCCUCGAAUUUUAGAUCUAAAAAGCUAAACCCUAGUUUUUCUAUUUUUCUAUUAUCCAGUCAAUUUUUAGCAUGUUUGAACCCAAAAUUUCCAUUAGUCGAUUGUUCUUGUUGAGAAUAGUCGAUUAAUGGUAGUUCAAGUUCAUUUCACACCGUUGAAGCUUGUCCGAAGUCCUUAAUUGAUCAAAAUUUGAAGCAAGUCCUUGGUAAACCCUUUUUCAUUUUUCUUUUUGAUUUCGUCUCUUUCGUCUUCCUUCUUUUUUAGCUGUAUGUUGUAGGUUUGCAAUUUUAGGUUUCCUAUUCUUCACGUUUAUUUUGUCUGUUUAUUUGGCAUCUGGUUAUUAGAUUAAUUAAAGCAUGCUGGAAUUUUAGUAUUUGAAAUCUAUCUUCAAUUGCAUGAAUUUGGUUUAAUUAGGGUUUACUUUUAGUUUUGAUACAAAAAUGAUGCUUCUGUUUCUUCCAUGUUCUAUCUUAUGUUCAGUGUUUGUUUUAGGUUAAUUUCUAGUCUGUCUUAGCAGUUCCAUUUUUAAUUCUGGUUUGAUUACUGUUUAGGUGCAUUAGUCGUUUAAAUCUAGCUUGACUUAGGUUUAAUUAGAUGAACACUAUUAUUUAUUGAUUUGGUCAAUUUUAGGGUUUAAAAUUGCAUCAUUUCAACUAUGUUUGUCAUUUGGAUUUGGACUCUGAUUCCUUUCUGACCUGGUCUUUGUUUGCCAUGAUUUGUAACUCACUAGGAACUUGUAGGGACCUAAUUAAACUAAAGAAAAACUUUUGGGGAUUUCAGAACUUUAGAAAAUAAAAAUCUAAAAGAAGAAGGUUCUAGAAAUGUACCUGCUGUCCAAAAUUGGUUUGAAAAGAUGCUGAAAAUGGACAGCUGGAUAUUUUAUCCUCUGUCAAUAUGCUGUACUAUCCAAGAAUUAGGGUGGAAUAUUUUUUUAUGCCAUUUAGGAUAUACACUCUAUAAAAAGAAAAGAAAACUACACACUCACACACACACACAUUAAUCAGCAUCUCUGCACUUUAAAAACAUUCAGAAUACAAGGAACAAAUCCCUGUAAUUUUUCUGGAAAAACUUCAGUUUUCUAGGGUAGAAAGGUUAUUUUUUGGUACUCUAAUUUUCUAGGUAUUUUGACGUGCUGGUUCUUGGUUUUCUGGUUGUGCUUCUGGGUUGCUGCUAUUUCUGCUUUGGUGUUGCUCCAUUUUUCUAAUUUUCAGCCAGCUCUUCAUCUGUUUGUUGUUGUUUUGUUCAAGGUACUGACUUCAGCCUUCUUCAUGUAAUGCUUGUUUAAAUGAUACAAGACUAGAGCUGCAAAUUAUAUGUGAAAAAAUGAGUAUAUUUUCAUGCUAGUUGUAGUUUACAUUGAUAUGGAUUUGAUUAGUCUUAAUUAUGUGAGUUUAAAGCUAGAAGUAAUUUUGUAUGAAUAGCCUAGUUAAUACAUUGAUGCUUUGUAGUUUUCCUCUUAAAAAUAACCUUGUUUGAAGAUGUAUCUUUAGCAAAAUAUUCUGCAUGUUAAUGCUGAUUCUGGAUGAUGUUCAUUAAAGUCACUUCUUCCCUUUUUCUUCUGUUAAAUGAAUAAUAUAUUGUUUACUUGAUUUCAUUUAAGUUUUGUUUGCUAACCAUGAGAUAUAACUUGUGGAUUUGGCCACUACUUGGCCAAAUCAGCAGGUUCAAAAGCUAAGAGUUGAAAUUCUACUGUUGGUAACAUGCUGAAUUUGAUAUUUUCAUGUGUUGAACCAAGAUUUGAUGGAUAAAUCAUGUCUAAAAGAGGCAGGUGUUCAUUAAGUUAUUAAUUACAUGGAAGUUGUAAUAGAAUAGUUGUUAAUAUAGUAAUUUAUGUAUUUAAUAUGUAAUAAUGUAAUGUUCUGAUUUUGGAAAGCUUUAUUUUCAUCCGGAGUACUGUAAUGAGUUAGGUUCUGAUUUUAUGUAAUGAGAUUAAAUCAACUGUUGGUAGGAGUGUAAUUAUUUUGUUAUGGUAUUUUCGUAAGCAUAGUGGUGAAAUGGCCAAGGCUAUGGGCCAGAUCUUCAAGAAUAAAAGGCAUGUUUCUGCGAUUCUAGCUGGGCCAGACUUGCUAUUGAGCCCAGAUGGGAAAAAAAACCUCGACAAGUCUUGGCCUAGGACGUUGGGCCUAGGCAUUAAACCCAAUAACUUGGCUCAGUUAUAAAGGUUCCCUUGUGAGCUAUAGUAUAAAUGCAUGUCCC